GACGAACGCUGGCGGCGUGCUUAACACAUGCAAGUCGAACGGUGAAGCGCCUUCCUUUUUGGUGGGUGUGGAUGAGUGGCGAACGGGUGAGUAACACGUGAGUAACCUGCUCCCUCCUUCUGGAUAACCGCAUGAAAGUGUGGCUAAUACGGGAUAUUUUGGGUCUGUCGCAUGAUGGGUCUGGGACAGAUAUUGUUUCGGUGGGGGAUGGGCUCGCGGCCUAUCAGCUUGUUGGUGUGGUGAUGGCCUACCAAGGCGGUGAGGGGUAGCCGGCCUGGGAGGGUGGACGGUCACACGAGGACUGAGCCACGGCCCCGACUCCUACGGGAGGCAGCAGGGAGGAAUAUUGAACGAUGGGCGCAAGGCUGGUGCAGCGACGCCGCGUGAGGGAUGGAGGCCUUCGGGUUGUGAACCUCUUUCGCCAGUGAAGCAGGCCUGCCUCGUUUGUGGGUGGGUUGACGGUAGCUGGAUAAGAAGCGCCGGCUAACUACGUG
This 494-nucleotide ribosomal RNA is filed under the name uncultured bacterium. RNAcentral's name for it is "partial 16S ribosomal RNA". It matches the Rfam family "Bacterial small subunit ribosomal RNA", at positions 28 to 507 of the family's 1533-position model. The record is from RNAcentral.